Molecule: long non-coding RNA, 6879 nt
Organism: Brienomyrus brachyistius
Lineage: Eukaryota; Metazoa; Chordata; Actinopteri; Osteoglossiformes; Mormyridae
Exons: 5
Source: RefSeq, a predicted model, not a curated record
UUAACCUGGGUUUCCAUUGGCAUUAUAAGCAUUUUGGAGAUUUUUGUCCCCCAAACAAAAACUUUAUAUUGCAACCCUUGGGAAAAAUCUAUAUAAAUCUUUUCUAGAUCAGUUCAGCAACGGCAACAUGUCACCAGCCACCUCCAUUUUAUCCAGUCUUAAAAACAGAAAAUAAAAGUUGCUUAAUUCCAUCCCUGGCUUUGUAUCCUAAGUUUUAAAUCAUUCCUGGUGCCACAGCACCAAGAGGUGGAAAGGGAGGGUGGUCCAGAGGUCCAUCAAAAGGGAAGGUCGUUAGUCUCCAUGUCACGAGGUGGUUGGCUGGAAAGUCUUGCCAUUCAGUGUAGACUGAGUGGAUUUUGUUCAGUAGACCAAGAGCUAGUAUCGAAUGCUGUAAAUCGUGUGUAGGCUCAUUGUGCGUGCUGAAAUUGAGUAUUUUAGCUUGUAUUCAUAGCGAACGCCCUUGAUGGAUAUCAAGCUUUGACAAUUGCUGAGAUAUGAAUGCCGAGAUCAGUACACUUUGUGUGAAGAGCACAAAUGUACCACAGAUGCUGUAGGAAGACCGAUAUGGCCACUGGAGUCUUUCAUCUGGAAGAGUUGGGUUUCUUCACUAUGAAGGUUCUGUCUUCCCAUGCGUGGAGCAGAGAAAGGUCAGGGGGCGGGAUCAGUCAGAUGACAGCUGGAGGAGAGGGAUCACAGUGCAGUUAUCCAGCUGUUGGAAGUGACUGAGGGGUCUGUCGACAUGUGGAUCCAUUCUCCGGACACUACUAGUCACCAUGAGAAGAGAAACCACAAGUCUCCAGACCACAGCUUUGUCGAAAGCGAUAUAGCCUACUAGACUACACCCUGCACCCUUCUGUGACCCUUGUAUGCUCUCUCUCUCUCUCUCUCUCUCUCUCUCUCUCCGCUGGGAGGGAAAUGGCGGGAAUCAGGUUCCCAGAUGCAGACUGCCCUCCUCCCCACUGCAAAUGAGACCUUCCUUGACCCGGUGCCUCGGAGAGACUCAGUCGGCACUGCGUAAAAACAGCCAAUCAGAGCGCCCGAUGGCCCCCCGCCAGCCUAUAAGGCAGCGUAACUCACACCUGCACAAACCGAGGGGAGCGGUCUACGUGGACGGCCGCCGAGUCACACGCCAGGGGAAAGGACCAGAUGGCUUUAAGAGCAGCACCACAAGCCGAACCAGGCCCCCCCCCCACACGGUAGAUGGCCCUCCCCACCGGCCCAGUUGGGUGUGUCCUCGCAGUGGCUCAUUCCUAACUCUCCGAUGUCAUUGCUUAAUUUUUUUUUUGGCUGUGUUGUUUAUCAAGGUAAUGAGGUUCAGUUGUUAGGUUAUACUUUUGGAAUGAAAUAGAUUUAAUGGCACAUUAUCGUCCUGAAAAAAUGUAGAGGCUUGCAAAGUAGGUCAAUUGUUUGUGUACAGAUUUGAAUGAUGUGGAGAUUAACGGCAGAGAACUGGAAAAAGAGUCAUAACCAUGGAAACACACCAACACACACACACUGCACUUGUGUGUGGAAACCCAACAAUAUGAACUCUUCGUUUUGACCUCCAAAUGAAUCCAAGUAGCGCGCCUUUCUUCACACAACAUCAUCACUUGUGCAAAUUAGACAGACAAACAGCACAUUCAAAAUGUUAACAUUUGCAUGAGUUUUGAGCCCUUCCUUUCAGAGCAUAUAAGUCAAAUGGACAUUUUCUCCAAGCCAAGGUUACAUCAUUCGCUGCCAAAACCAAAGGCUGAACCUUUUUUCUUAGCUAUUCAGCCCGUGAAUAACCAGCGAUGAAAAACGCUAUGAAUCAUGCACCCCUGGGCACCCCCUCACCCCCCGCCACGGUUCUGAACUCAGCAGACAUAUUUAUUUUAGCUAUUAGCUGGUUUACAGCCCAAUCGUUCUUGGAAAGGGUUUGUUUCCUGUAUUUUCCUAAUUGCUGUUUCCAGAACAUUCUGAUAGUCUGCCACAAAGCAGCUCCCGAAGUGAAAACCUAACACGGUUUAGGGCCUGAAGUAGGGUAUUAAUAUUACUGCGUUAAACGCAGUUCAAAAGCACUGUAGGUCACAGUCUAGGUGCAGUGUGCCUGAGUGCUGCCUCCGGUGGAAGUGCUGCCCCAAAAGUCAUGGCUGAAGAAGAAGAAGGGAUUGACGUGGCAGACAAAUGCUGCAAGAAGAGCAUCACAUCAUCCAAUGAGUGAGGGACACUUGGGGUCAUGGUAUGGACGAAGCCUGGGGGGUGGGGGGAGUGGGGGGGGUGGUACGUACAGCAAACACCCAGCAUGGAAUCAUGGAAUCCACUGUUCAUCGUCCAAUAUCCACUAUUAAAAACACAAAAAUGGAGCUCAAAUACUUGGGGAAAAAAACCAUUACAAUAAUAACAUUAGAUUCCCUGCUAGGCCAAUAACAAGAAAAAAUAUUCCAGUCAGUUUCAGCAAAACAUCGUUGCCAAAAUAUAAUAAAACAGCGGCAUCUGCUGUAGCGCAAAAGGAGCACGAAGGAAAGGCAGAGAGCGUAGCUGUGUGGGUUCACACUAAUACAGUUCACCUCUGACUUAGUGCUUUUCAGUUUUUGUCUUUAUUUUUUAUCCUUUCUGCUUUACUGUUGCGUCAGUUGUUUUAGCAACAUAAAGACCGGGUGCUCUCCAUGGUAACACUUCUCUUUUUGAAUGUGAGUUUUAGGGGAGCAAGGAUGGGGUCUUGUAAUGACUAUCCCAGAGCUUAAAGCAGGAUCGCACUGGGAAGUCACUGAGCUAUUCUGAUGCUCUCUAGCCCUCGCUGGCCACGGAGGCUCAUCGGCAAUUCCCUGCUCCGGAUCCAGGACCAGAUGGAUUUAACGGUGCUCUAGGGCCAAGUCAGUCUCCUGUCCAAGAGCUGACUCCUCGAAUAAAUGACUCCACCCUCUGUUGAUGAGACACACUACACAGCCAUCCAUCCUUAGUAUGCAGCAUCUUCUGGUUACUUCACCCAGAGCAUCAUGGCAUCAGUGCCAGCUCUUGGAUCUGGCAGGCUGUGGAAACCACAAGAGGCUGACUAAGGACCUCAUCAUUUGUAGGGCCAGCUGAUAUAUGGAGGACAAGAUGAUGUUUUGAUGUUACCUUCAUCUACAUGUCCUACCUUUCCUGUGUUUAAUCACCAUGCAGAUAUAAUUCACGCUAUUUAGUUUAACACUUUAUUCAGUAUAACUUCAGCAAUCUGACUGCAUAAAAAUAUACGUUUUAGAUCAAUAUCUAAACACAUUUAAACAUGAUAAUGAAACGUCAUUUGCUUUUGUUUUGCACAUGUUUGGUUCUCAUGGUUAUAAGCUUGCGGUCUGGCAAUUUUAGGCACAAGAGUUUUCCAGACUCUUCUGCGCAUUCAUAGCCUUGGCCUUUAUGAGUGUGUGACUGUAUUUGCCCUGUAGUGGAUGAGCAUGUGAUCUCUCUGAUACUUGAGUGCAUGUUGCUGAGCUAGGAUUGAUGCUGGGAAGGCAAAUUUGAAAAAUGCACGGAACUGAGCUAAUCCGUGAUUUCCUCUAUCCCGUUUAUUCCCCCCCCCCCUCCCCCCCGCGGCAAAACUUAUCUAAUUGUUUCUGAAUUGGUAAAUGAAGACAUUUGGUUAUGCGCCAUGCACAUUUUUGUGAUUGAUUACAGAGAGGUAUUUGGAGAGGUCUGAGGCCACAGCUGAAAAAUCAAUGCUAGAUUUUGUUUCUUGGCAGAAAAGGUCUGCAGCUUUCAUCAGAACGGCCAUCCUGCUUGGGAAUUGUUUUGUUUUUUUUCUACUUUAUUAAAAUGCAUAAGCUGAAAAAAUAGCUUAAACUUAAGCUUUUCCAAAUCCAUUCUACAAAAUCUGUUUUCUGGGAAAACGAGGGCUUUAUAGUUACCGGGGUGAUCCUUACAUGCAGACUUUAAUCCCUUCAUGUGAGAAUGAUGACUGGGAUGACAUCAUGCCUCAAUUACAGUACCCCUAACACAGCUGGAAAUGGUAUAGAAUGGUCAGGUGGUAUAUAACGGUCAGGUGGUACAUAAGGUCAGGUGGCAUAGAACGGUCUGGUGGUAUAUAACGUCAGGUGGUAUAGAACGGUCAGGUGGUAUAGAACGGUCAGGUGGUAUAUAACGUCAGGUGGUAUAUAAGGUCAGGAAUAAAGACUGUCAUUCCACAUGGCAUUUCCAUGAAAGUUGCCUCUUUAUGUGGCUGAAGAAGUCCAUUGUUUGUUCUGUAACUUAGACAUCUUCCGAAUACUAACUGGACAGUGAUCAUAGGUUUACUCUGAAGGUUCAUUAAGUAUCAUGUCAUGGUAGAGAACCGUCACUCGGCGGUUGCAGUCUUCAAGGCUUGUGUAUAUAUAUUUUAGUAUCUCGUGUGUUUACUAUGGUCUGGAUGAUCUUUACUUGGAGAGAAUCUCCUUCCUGUCUUAUGUGAAAAUAGCCCAUAAAUGUAACGGCAGCAUCAAGUCAGACUACAUUUGCUUUUCCACUUACAAAAAUCGACAGACAACUAUAAUACUCAUUUUACAAUAUAAGAAGUGCAGGCACAGUUUGUGGGGGUGGGUUUUGGACCAACACGGAGGCUGCAUUUCUAUACAAGGCCUCAGGAUAUUCCAGACCCCCUAGGGCUGUGGUUGGGGGGUGGGGGGGGGGUGACCGUUUGUGGUGAACUAGAACACACCUGAGUAAACAUGGCCGGAUGGAACGCGCCCCGUGGGAACUUUGAAGCAGAGGGGGACAGAGUUUCCGUCACAUGACCCCAAGCGGGCCGAUCUUACAUUUCCACAGACAUACAGUUUCCAUAAACGCAUCCAUAGUUUCUCAGGAUUUCAGUUGUAAUUCUUGACAAGAGGAAAGCGACCAGGGUGGAGGCAGCAUUAACGCGGAUGCAAUGCAAACCACUAGACUGGGGACAUUAAAACAGCAGGAUGAAGAAACUCAAGAGACAAGUCAUGCUGACUGGGGAAUGUGAGAGCCGGCAGUGCUCACUGGUCAAGUUCCAAGGCCAAGAUCCACACACAGAUCUACACGUGUUAAUAACUGUAUAUGCUGUCAGAACUCGACACAUCACUGAACUUUGACUUCUGACCUCAGGUAGUGCAAUAUUCUGACAUUGGUUUCUAUUUAGUCCAGUUGUCUACUUAAUGAUCUAACAACAGGGAUCUAGAUAGAGAGUCUAAAUGGCAUAGCUUGGUGAGUAGCAGAGGGCAUUCUGGGAAACCUAGUACUCCUGCAGAAGCCCAUUGAGGCAGCCAGACCAUGAGUAAAAAAAAUAUAUUCCUAUUGCUGACUUUUACCAUCCUGCCCAAACAUUUAGUGCCCUGUGCUGACUCACUACCCAGUGCUGAGUCUUUUGUUCUCCCCCUCCACAGCCCUCAGUCCAUCCCACAAUCCCACAACACUGCAACAAGAGUACUGGGUGGAGGGAGAUGAUCCCUAUAUGUGUCAGUUCAAGAGAAUACCAGCCCAUGCAAAACAGAUGUGUUCUCAUGUGGAGCAAUAGUGCCAUCUACUGGAUAUGAACAGUACACUCAUGUUCCAACAGCAUGUUACACUUUUGUCUGGGGCCCUGCUCAAGGUACAAAGCUCCGCAAAUUCGGGGUAAAUGAUCAGAUUUCAGUCGGAUAAAUAGUGUACGGUAUUUUCCACUUCAUGGAAUACUGAUCUGCGAUUUAAUUGACUAGUAUAAGAUAGGCCUUCAUUUUGUUGGGUAAAUGCCAGGUACCGUUUAAGAGGAAGCUUAACAGACAUCGUGAAUUCAGUGGGAAAAUGGCCAAAGGCAAUGCCGUGUAUUUCAGGGUUCCCAAAAAAAUCUUGUAUGAUAGAGGACUAUGAUUACAUGGUGGGCAGUAGAUUACAAAGAGAUUUUAUCUAAUAAAUGCAAAACUGUCAGGGCAGGUAAGUCAUGUCAGGAACCCAUGAAACUAAUUUAAAUCUAAUCUAAAUCUGUAUAUUUUAUUAGGACAUUCAUUAAUAAAGCACAGACCUAACAUUUUUGUCUAUUCGUGUAGGAACAGCAUAUGCAUAUAUUAUAGCCCAUAUGUAAAAUUGCACAUUAACGAUCACUUUCCUUUCUGCACUUAUUUCACAGUCCCAUUUUCAAGUGGAUUAAAAGGUAAUAACUGCAAGUCCCGAUAAAAUAUAAGACAAUUACAGUAAUUCAUGACUUCCAGUGACUGUAGAUAGUUGCAUCGUCAGUGGCGCCAGCUUUAGCUGUGACCCACAAUUCCCCCCAAAAAAGCAAACUUCUGUUACAGAUCAGUGAAGACACCAUCUGUGUCCUCAGAGCUUCAAACAUGGCUGCACUUAAUGACUUCAUUGAGUAAAAUAGUGUUAUGCUGCAAAUGAACUUAUACAAUAUAUGGCCUGUCAUUAGCAAUGUGCCGAACAUAAUAAGAUGCUGUACAGGCACUACUUAAAAGGAAGAAUUGCGAACGGCGAGUAGGAAAUGAUGAACAGAGCUCUGAUGAUGAGGAAAGCAACUUUACUGGACAAGCACUUUCCAUAAGGGGGCGUUUCCCUUUUUUGUUGGGUAAUUUGUUAAUUACUUGUUUGAGGUAGAAUGUGCAAAUGAAUGCAUAACUUUUACUUCCAUUUACAUGGGCACCCUUCAAAUAAAUAUUUUUCUCACUUUCCCAUUGGAUAUUUUCUUUUAAUAAUGGGUAUCCCCUUGACCCUAACCUGGAUAAGCAGUUAGAUCAUGGCUGGAAUAUGGAAACUAAAGCAAGGCAAGAAUGGAAACGGUAACUAAGCGUGGAAAUCAAUCAUAAGGCGCAAAGAAAAUGUAAAGCUGUACAUAAAACACACUGAAUCGGAGGCUGUGGUCUGCGCCUUUCACACCCGUGCAGAUUUACAGACGUUCCCUGACAGGACGGAGCCAGAUCACACACUGCAGUAACAUAGGCAGAAGGUAUCUGAAGAGGAAAAGUAAAG